CAGCUGCGAGACUUGGUGUGAAUUGCAGGACACAUUGAGCACUGAUUUUUCGAACGCGCAUUGCGGUCUCGGGUACUACCCGGGACCACGUCUGUCUGAGGGUCGGAUAAACGCUUGCAGAAGGAGGUCUCCUCCUGAUUGGUCGCCUCGGAGUUCGCCUCCGUCGACCCAAGUCUUGCGUUGAUCCGCCGCCGAGAGGCGUCCCGCGUAAGGACGCCCGGGAGUGGGAGUGGCGGAUUGCUUCUCUCCCUUUUUCCCGGGCCUGCGGUAGAUGCGAGAGCGGCGGACGCGAGAAGGAAGGGCGAGGACCCGUUCCUCGUCUCAUGAUGUCGACCUCAGAUCAGGCGAGACGACCCGCUGAAUUUAA
This 367-nucleotide unclassified non-coding RNA is filed under the name uncultured fungus. RNAcentral's name for it is "sequence contains ITS1". The stretch from base 1 to 105 matches the Rfam family "5.8S ribosomal RNA", at positions 50 to 154 of the family's 154-position model. Lineage: Eukaryota; Fungi. The record is from RNAcentral.